Molecule: ribosomal RNA, 425 nt
Filed under: uncultured bacterium
Lineage: Bacteria
Description: partial 16S ribosomal RNA
Rfam family: Bacterial small subunit ribosomal RNA
Source: RNAcentral
GUGGGGAAUAUUGGACAAUGGGCGAAAGCCUGAUCCAGCCAUGCCGCGUGAGUGAUGAAGGCCUUAGGGUUGUAAAGCUCUUUCGCCGAGGACGAUAAUGACGGUACUCGGAUAAGAAGCCCCGGCUAACUUCGUGCCAGCAGCCGCGGUAAUACGAUGGGGGCUAGCGUUGUUCGGAAUUACUGGGCGUAAAGCGUAUGUAGGCGGGUCGUUAAGUUAGGGUUGAAAUCCCAAGGCUCAACCUUGGAACUGCCCUUGAUACUGGCGAUCUUGAGUCGGGGAGAGGUGAGUGGAACUGCGAGUGUAGAGGUGAAAUUCGUAGAUAUUCGCAAGAACACCAGUGGCGAAGGAGGCUCACUGGCCCGGUACUGACGCUGAGAUACGAAAGCGUGGGGAGCAAACAGGAUUAGAAACCCUGGUAGUCC